RNAcentral lists this ribosomal RNA (465 nucleotides) under uncultured Klebsiella sp. RNAcentral's name for it is "bacterial SSU rRNA". It matches the Rfam family "Bacterial small subunit ribosomal RNA", at positions 338 to 795 of the family's 1533-position model. Lineage: Bacteria; Pseudomonadati; Pseudomonadota; Gammaproteobacteria; Enterobacterales; Enterobacteriaceae. The record is from RNAcentral.
CCUACGGGGGGCAGCAGUGGGGAAUAUUGCACAAUGGGCGCAAGCCUGAUGCAGCCAUGCCGCGUGUGUGAAGAAGGCCUUCGGGUUGUAAAGCACUAUCAGCGGGGAGGAAGGCGUUAAGGUUAAUAACCUUGGCGAUUGACGUUACCCGCGGAAGAAGCACCGGCUAACUCCGUGCCAGCAGCCGCGGUAAUACGGAGGGUGCAAGCGUUAAUCGGAAUUACUGGGCGUAAAGCGCACGCAGGCGGUCUGUCAAGUCGGAUGUGAAAUCCCCGGGCUCAACCUGGGAACUGCAUUCGAAACUGGCAGGCUAGAGUCUUGUAGAGGGGGGUAGAAUUCCAGGUGUAGCGGUGAAAUGCGUAGAGAUCUGGAGGAAUACCGGUGGCGAAGGCGGCCCCCUGGACAAAGACUGACGCUCAGGUGCGAAAGCGUGGGGAGCAAACAGGAUUAGAUACCCCGGUAGUC